AGCAGCCGCGGUAAUUCCAGCUCCAAUAGCGUAUAUUAAAGUUGUUGCAGUUAAAAAGCUCGUAGUUGAAUUUCGGGGUCAGCAGGUUGGUCGUGCCACUGGUAUGCACUGGUUUCGCUGAUUCCUCCUUUCUGAAGAACUGUAAUGCCAUUAAUUUGGUGUUGCAGGGAAACAGGACUUGUUACUUUGAAAAAAUUAGAGUGUUUAAAGCAGGCUAACGCUUGAAUACAUUAACAUGGAAUAAUGAAAAGGACGUUUGAUCAACCUAUUUUGUUGGUUUCUAGAUUGACGUAAUGAUUAAUAGGGAUAGUUGGGGGCAUUAGUAUUCAAUUGUCAGAGGUGAAAUUCUUGGAUUUAUUGAAGACUAACUACUGCGAAAGCAUUUGCCAAGAAUGUUUUCAUUAAUCAAGAACGAAAGUUAGGGGAUCGAAGACGAUCAGAUACCGUCGUAGUCUUAACCAUAAACUAUGCCGACUAGGGAUCGGAUGAUGUUAAUUUUGAUGACUCAUUCGGCACCUUA
Molecule: ribosomal RNA, 520 nt
Filed under: uncultured Glomus
Lineage: Eukaryota; Fungi; Glomeromycota; Glomeromycetes; Glomerales; Glomeraceae
Description: SSU rRNA
Rfam family: Eukaryotic small subunit ribosomal RNA
Source: RNAcentral